GAAAUUCAUGCAAAAAUUUUUGAAACCUCCAGUCUAACUGGUGAAAAUGUUGGUAGGUUUUGAAGUCAAUUUUUGGAUUUAAACGUACUGCAUGCGAAUUACCCUUGUAAUUACCCCGUACUACAGUAACUGUUAUUUCUGUAAAAAAUAGGAUUUUUUUCUUGCAGGCAAACUAUUUCAUGAAGUUGGAAAGACAUGCUUAGAAAAGCUUGUUGUGAAAGGCCCCAAAGGCAAAGGUUCAGACUCAUAUAAUUAUGUAGUUAGACCAACAGGUGGGAAAUUUGUCGUCGCUGACCAAAAAAUUGCGGGCAGAAACAAAGCUCAUUGCAUUUACAUUCAAAACAAAGCAGAAAGUUAGCAAGAAGCUGUUUUAGCUGACGAUUUUUUGCUUUCCAUUCAACGAUUUACAAAUUAUUGGUUAUUCUUUUAAAAGUCGAUCAUGAAUUCUUUGUUUUGGGAUGAUUGUUUUGUAAUCGCGUGAUUGGAAGAAGUUGAUAUGGCGACGUGAACAUGGGAGUAAAUACCGUAUACGUCGAUCUAUGGCUUGUUUAAAACCGUCAUAAACGAAGAAAGACGUGAUUUGAGAAUGAAAUGUAAGUUGAAAUUAACUUUAUAUGCCUCAAAUUUUCCAUCUUAUGUUUCUUAAUGUAACUUCAGCUGUCUAAGUUCAAAAUACAAGCUCGCGAAAUUUGACAAAUUUUGAAAAUAUGUAAAAAUAGCUUGACUUUGAACUGUAUUUUCUCAAAAAUAGCCCGUGGCCUCAAUUUCAAAUAUAGCUAAAUGAAAAGAAAAAACUUUUCUGCGUUUGUAGGUAUCAAACAUAUCGUCAGGAAAAUAGGGGCUCACAAUGUUUUAGUUCAGUCUUUGAGACCCAGUUGCUUCGCACGUGUUGUGGUCAAAUUUUUGCCAAGAAUCAAAGGCCGAAAUGUGAACUUUCUUCAUGAAAACCGCUUCGAGCGGGGUCUAGUUUGAAAAUGUAGCUAUUAAUUUCGAUUUCAUGAGCAUAUUUUGGUUACACGUUAAGUAUUUUUGUGCUUGAUGAGAUUCAAAAUUUGUUGUAUAUACAAGCCCGGCUUUUGUGUAAUUUUGGUGAUGACCGGAACAGAAAUAAAGAUAUUUUAAAAACUGGCCGUGGCCUCACGAUAAAACUUUCUACAAAUGUUCUCUGUUUCAUGUACUUUUAUUUGAUGUCUUAGGUAUAAGCGUAAAAAUAGGGGCUCGUACAGUUUGAGAGGUUGUAAAAUGCAUGACUUGCCUCUAUUUUCAUGUAAACAUUCGAAAUUCUUCGACAGCAAAGUAGCAACUGUUUCAGAUCGAAUGCACACGGACAGCCCAUCAGAGACAAUGUCAGGGUACUGAAAUAGAACGUCACUAAAAAAUUCUGUAUGAUUAAUUUAGAUCAUGUCCACUCUUUCAACAUAAAACAGUCAUUUAUUCUGUACAAACAUUUGGCAAUAUUUACACGAUUCUGCCUUUUUGUAAACACGCGUUGCGUGUAUUCCGCGCAAUUGCGUGGCUCAUUUUACUCGCGCAUGCUCAGACAAAUUUCCCACCUGUUAGUUAGACCUAUUUCAAAUUCAUUGUGCAUGUCACGCGAAUACAAGGAUUAUAGAUAGUAAAUUUUACCGUAGGCAACCCAGCAAAUAUAUGUAUUCACUUAAAAACGCUUAAAAAUGCGCAUAAAGUUCGUCUGCCUUUGCUAUCAAAUGCAGAUUCGGAUGUUUACGUCAUUGUGUUUUCAUAUAGUAUACCAUAGACAAUCCAGAAGACAGACGUUUUAUAUUCGUUUUCGAUUUUCGCGAUGUAGGUAUAAUCCUGUAACAAAAAUGGCUACUUUUAUACAAUGACAAUGCAUGGACCUUUGGCUGCAGCCAUCAAGGCCAAAACAUCUUUGCAGUGUUCCUAUGUCCUGUAAUGACACAACGUCAGAUAUGUGGAAAGGUCUAAAGGUAUUUAGUAUAAAUUUCCAGGUGACUAUUGAUUUUUCUGCAUUCUGAUUGGUCAAGAUUCACUGUCUCUGAAGUGAUAGUCACUGGUCAGCGACUAUAGCUUUUUUUUUCAAAAUGGCUGCUCGUUUUGCCGUAGUAACAGAAGAGGAAAUUGCCAAAAUUGAAGAAGAUAGCAUUCCGAAAAAACCCAAACAAGCUACAAAAUAUGAUUUAAAAAUAUUUCAAGGUAAAAUAUUAAACUUUACGUGCUUUUAUUUGGAAAAAAACUGGCUUAGUCGCAACGCGACACAGAUCCGUGUCUGAGAUUUAAAUUUUGUAAACAAACUAUUUAUAGUGAAAAUAAAUUUAUUUGAAGUGAAUUUUUAUAAAGUUGUGUGGAUUAUUGUUUGUAAACACCUGGAAAUUUAUACUAAAACAAUUAGUCCCCUCAGGCUCGGUGAUUACAAGCCUAUAUUCACUUCGGCUCAGUGAAUAUAGGCUUGUAAUCACCUCGCCUUCGGCGACUAAUUGUUAAAUAGAUUGCAGUCCUCUGUCCUCUCCUCCUUUUUUGUAAUGUUCAUUCUCGAUUAUUUUUAGAGAUUCUAUCACUAACAUUAGAGGAGCCGAAAAAACAAAGACAAAAGCGUUGUCAAUGAUUUAGGAUGACCAAAUUCAGUUUGUCACCUCCAAUUUGGAGUUAAAACUAAAUAGUAAUUACAAUAAUUGUGAUAUAUUAACACAUUCAGGAGCAAAGCUAAACACAAGUAUACACAAGAGUAAAAGUUGAUUUUUAAAAGUUAAGUAGUAUUUUAAUUUUUAUAGCAGAAGGAACGAAUCCUGUUAAAUAUACUAAUUAUUAUUUACGGCUAUAUGAUUCACGUUAAAGACUACUCUAAUAUCAUGUAUUUACAUCGUAGUUAAAAUGAAGAUUGAAUUUAUCAAUAGCGAAUACAAGUGCACUGCCCUUAAAGUAUUCAGUUCUGCAG
Molecule: non-coding RNA, 2914 nt
Organism: Paramuricea clavata
Lineage: Eukaryota; Metazoa; Cnidaria; Anthozoa; Malacalcyonacea; Plexauridae
Source: the annotation of a GenBank genome assembly